This 426-nucleotide ribosomal RNA is filed under the name uncultured bacterium. RNAcentral describes it as "bacterial SSU rRNA". It matches the Rfam family "Bacterial small subunit ribosomal RNA", at positions 354 to 796 of the family's 1533-position model. The record is from RNAcentral.
GUAGGGAAUCUUCCGCAAUGGGCGAAAGCCUGACGGAGCGACGCCGCGUGAGGGACGAAGGCCUUCGGGUUGUAAACCUCUGUCUUGGGGGAUGAGGAAGGACAGUACCCCAGGAGGAAGCCCCGGCUAACUACGUGCCAGCAGCCGCGGUAAUACGUAGGGGGCGAGCGUUGUCCGGAAUUACUGGGCGUAAAGGGCGUGUAGGCGGCCUUUUAAGUUAGGCGGUAAAUCCCACGGCUCAACUGUGGGGAUGCGCCUAAUACUGGGAGGCUAGAGGGCAAGAGAGGGGAGCGGAAUUCCCGGUGGAGCGGUGAAAUGCGUAGAUAUCGGGAGGAACACCAGUGGCGAAGGCGGCUCCCUGGAUUGUACCUGACGCUGAGGCGCGAAAGCUAGGGGAGCGAACGGGAUUAGAAACCCUAGUAGUCC